AGGAUCAUUGUCGAUGCCUUACAUGCCGUCCGGGGGGCACCCGCCCCUCGUGUCCACGCGUGCCGUGGAGGGACGCAUCUGCGCCCGACACGGCUCGCCAACGAACCCCGGCGCGAGAAGCGCCAAGGAAAUUGAGUACUAGGAGCACGCCCUCGUAGCCUCGGUGUCGGGGGCGCGCCUUCUUUUUGUGAUAAUCUGAACGACUCUCGGCAACGGAUAUCUCGGCUCUCGCAUCGAUGAAGAACGUAGCGAAAUGCGAUACUUGGUGUGAAUUGCAGAAUCCCGCGAAUCAUCGAGUCUUUGAACGCAAGUUGCGCCCGAAGCCACCUGGCCGAGGGCACGUCUGCCUGGGUGUCACGCAUCGUUGCCCCCAACCCCAUCGCCCUGCAAAGAGGCGGUGGGGGCAUGCGGGGCGGACAUUGGCCUCCCGUGGGCUGAUGCCUGCGGCUGGCCUAAAAACGAGUCCUCGGCGACGAUCGCCACGACAAUCGGUGGUUGACAAACCUUCGUGACCCGUCGUGCGCGCAUCGCCGCUCAACGCGUGCUCUUUUGACCCUGUCGCGUCGCGCUCGCGACGCUUCCAACGCGACCCCAGGUCAGGCGGGACUACCCGCUGAG
RNAcentral lists this ribosomal RNA (618 nucleotides) under embryophyte environmental sample. RNAcentral's name for it is "eukaryotic LSU rRNA". The stretch from base 202 to 357 matches the Rfam family "5.8S ribosomal RNA". Lineage: Eukaryota; Viridiplantae; Streptophyta. The record is from RNAcentral.